AUACUACCAUUAUCCCCAUGGUAACCAGUCUCUGAGUGGGAGUGGUCAGCCUCAAGGAGAAUGGUGGGAAAAACUGCUUCCUGGAGAAAAGGGAAGAAGUUCCCCUUGCCUUGAUGGUCUCCUCAAAACUGAACUGCUCUGAAGCCAUGGAAUGAAUAAGCAAUUCCUCCUGGAAGUUGUUUCCGUCUGCUGUUUGGUAGCAGUGAUGAGGACAGGAAAGAACCUAGAGCCCUGACCCCAGGAUGGUGACAGUAGAAGGGUUGUUGCUGGAGAUAAUGGGUGUGAAGCGCGUAAAUCAUUGCACAAAUAAAGUGCUGUUAUUAGCAUCUCUGCUGAAUCUAUAGA
Mastomys coucha (southern multimammate mouse) is the source of this 345-nucleotide long non-coding RNA. RefSeq lists it as uncharacterized. The record is from RefSeq and is a predicted model, not a curated record. NCBI's taxonomy places the organism in Eukaryota, Metazoa, Chordata, Mammalia, Rodentia, Muridae. The transcript has 3 exons.